This 399-nucleotide ribosomal RNA is filed under the name uncultured bacterium. RNAcentral's name for it is "bacterial SSU rRNA". It matches the Rfam family "Bacterial small subunit ribosomal RNA", at positions 30 to 430 of the family's 1533-position model. The record is from RNAcentral.
AUUGAACGCUGGCGGCAUGCCUUACACAUGCAAGUCGAACGGUAACGGGCCUUCGGGUGCCGACGAGUGGCGAACGGGUGAGUAAUGCAUCGGAACGUACCUUUCAGUGGGGGAUAACGUAGCGAAAGUUACGCUAAUACCGCAUAUUCUGUGAGCAGGAAAGCAGGGGAUCGCAAGACCUUGCGCUGAUUGAGCGGCCGAUGUCAGAUUAGCUAGUUGGUGAGGUAAAGGCUCACCAAGGCGACGAUCUGUAGCGGGUCUGAGAGGAUGAUCCGCCACACUGGAACUGAGACACGGUCCAGACUCCUACGGGAGGCAGCAGUGGGGAAUUUUGGACAAUGGGGGGCAACCCUGAUCCAGCCAUGCGCGUGAGUGAAGAAGGCCUUCGGGUUGGUUAAA